Molecule: ribosomal RNA, 497 nt
Filed under: uncultured bacterium
Lineage: Bacteria
Description: partial 16S ribosomal RNA
Rfam family: Bacterial small subunit ribosomal RNA
Source: RNAcentral
GAUGAACGCUGGCGGCGUGCCUAACACAUGCAAGUCGAGCGAAAAGACGCUGAGCUUGCUCCUCUGACGUUAGCGGCGGACGGGUGAGUCACACGUGGAUAACCUACCUAUAAGACUGGGAUAACUUCGGGAAACCGGCGCUAAUACCGGAUAAUAUAUUGAACCGCAUGGUUCAAUAGUGAAAGACGGUUUUGCUGUCACUUAUAGAUGGUUCCGCGCUGGAUUAGCUAGUUGGUAAGGUAACGGCUUACCAAGGCAACGAUGCGUAGCCGAGGGGAGAGAGUGAUCGGCCACACUGGAAGUUAGACACGGUCCAGGCUCCUACGAGAAGCAGCAGUAGGGAAUGUUCCGCAAUGGUCGAGAGCAUGACGGAGCAACGCCGCGGGAGAGAUGAAGGUCUUCGGAUCGUAAAGCGCUGUUGUUGGGUAAAAACAAGUGUGUAAGUAACUAUGCACAUCUUGACGGUACCUAAUCAGAAAGCCACGGCUAACUACGUG